RNAcentral lists this ribosomal RNA (1869 nucleotides) under Discoplastis constricta. RNAcentral's name for it is "SSU rRNA". It matches the Rfam family "Eukaryotic small subunit ribosomal RNA", at positions 101 to 1569 of the family's 1831-position model. Lineage: Eukaryota; Euglenozoa; Euglenophyceae; Euglenales; Phacaceae. The record is from RNAcentral.
UUACAUCAGCAGUCAUCUAUGCGGUGAAGUGUGGUUGGCACCGCCUGCCAGGUGCUCACUUGGACAUCCACCAAAACCUAGUGGCUAAUACACGGACGUCAAGGUCUGCCAUGGUGACAUUUGCUGGCAACUCUGCCGACACUGUGUGUGGUGGAUUGCGCCCAGCCGCUGUGAAGACCAGCGCCUGGAAAUGGCAGUGUUCCCUUGGUUGACUCAGGCUGGUCCUACUGGACAGUUGCACUGGCAGAGUGGUGGCCUCUGGCCACACAUCACUUGCUUGGCCGCAAGAACUUCUGACCUAUCAGCUUUGACUGUGGUGUAGUGGACCACAGUGGCAGCUACGGGUAACGGAGAAUCAGGGUUCGAUUCCGGAGAGGGAGCCUGAGAGAUGGCUACCACUACCAAGGUGGGCAGCAGGCGCGCAAAUUGCCCAAUACUGACACAUGUGGUGAGGCAGCAACGAACUGCAGCAAUUCCACCUGUCCUUUGAGACCAGUGGAACUUGGAAUGGAUGCUAUCCAAACACAGUGAUGAGAAUCAACUGGAGGGCAAGUCUGGUGCCAGCAGCUGCGGUAAUUCCAGCUCCAAGUGCGUAUACUGACAUUGCUGCUGUUAAAACACUUGUAGUCAGCCACUGGGUGCAGGUCUGACAGGUGGCUGGCAGGUGCUUGUGGCUCAACUGGCUUCUGGCUGGGUGGGCUGCCUGUGCCUGCUGGAACUCAACCCCUGGCAGUAUGUCCUGCACCCGCAUUCAAGAUGGUGAAUUGCUCUUGCUCCAAGCCUCCUUCAGUGGAGGCCAAGGCGGCUUCACGUCAGAUGCAUGUGAGGGUGCUUUGGGGUCAGCUCCCUGUGAGUGACACCCCUGCCCACCACCAGAGCUCAUCAUCUCUGCCACCGUGGAAAACUCAGUGUGCUCAAAGCAUCCAUCUCUCGGCUGGAUGUCUAUCCAUGGAAUGUCAAAGCAUCGACCAAGUGGGCCUCACAGUUGUGCUGGCCUUGGUGCUCACUCUGGAGAAUGUGGCUCAGCCUCCUGCCUGGUUCCUGCGUGUUGUUCCAAGGCGAAAGGGCCAGUGCUUGUGGGCUUUGCCUGUCGUGCCUGAUGGGAUUGCUCAGGGUGGAAGAUAUUGCAACGCCAGAGGUGAAAUUCUUAGACCGCUGCAAGAUCAACUGCAGCGAAGGCGUUCUGCAAGUGCCUGUCCGUCGAUCAAGAAUGAAAGUGUGGGGAGCAAAGAUGAUCAGACACCGUCGUAGUCCACAACUGUAAACUAUGCCAGCUUGGUGCUGGUGGAGCAAGUACACGGACUCCAUCGGCGCCAUGCCCCCUGCAACGAGAAAUCCAAGCCUUUGGGUUCAGGGGGAAGUACUGUCGCAAGGCUGAAACUUAAAGGAAUUGACGGAAUGGCACCACAAGGCGUGGAGUAUGCGGCUUAAUUUGACUCAACACGGGGAAUGUUACCAGGUCAGGACGUUGCUUGGAUGGACAGAUUGAGAGCUCUUUCUUGAUCCCUUGGAUGGUGGUGCAUGGCCGCUCCUGAUUGGUGGAGUGAUUUGUCUGGUUGAUUCCGAUAACGAGUGAGACAUCUGCCUCCCAAUAGCCUCAGCCUCGCACUUGUAGGGCAGUUUGGCUGCUUCCAGCCAGCUUGCUGGCCUGGGGGCACCAGUUGCUGCCUGAGAGGAUUGAGCCCAGCUUCUCUGAGGUGCUGCGCACGCCACCAAGUGCCCGCAUGCUAGAGCCAACAGCAGGUCUGUGAUGCUCCCAGAUGUCCUGGGCCGCACGCGCACUACAUUGACACAGUGAACGUGUUUUGCCGCUCACUCCGCUGAGCCCCACCUGGAAGUUGGUGGGAAACCAUGUGAGCCUGUGCUGUA